RNAcentral lists this ribosomal RNA (460 nucleotides) under uncultured bacterium. Its description in RNAcentral is "partial 16S ribosomal RNA". It matches the Rfam family "Bacterial small subunit ribosomal RNA", at positions 338 to 795 of the family's 1533-position model. The record is from RNAcentral.
CCUACGGGGCGCAGCAGUGAGGAAUAUUGGUCAAUGGCCGGAAGGCUGAACCAGCCAUGCCGCGUGAAGGUCAGUGCCCUAUGGGCGUUAAACUUCUUUUGUGCGGGAGCAAUAAUGGUCACGUGUGGCCAGACGAGAGUACCGUACGAAUAAGCAUCGGCUAACUCCGUGCCAGCAGCCGCGGUAAUACGGGGGAUGCAAGCGUUAUCCGGAUUUAUUGGGUUUAAAGGGUGCGUAGGCUGUGAGGUCAGUCAGCGGUGAAAUGCCCCCGCUCAACGGGGUGAAGUGCCAUUGAUACUGUCGUGCUGGAAUGCGGAUGCCGUGGGAGGAAUGUGUGGUGUAGCGGUGAAAUGCAUAGAUAUCACACAGAACACCGAUUGCGAAGGCAUCUCACGAAUCCGCGAUUGACGCUGAUGCACGAAAGCGUGGGUAUCAAACAGGAUUAGAUACCCUAGUAGUC